CCAACAUAGAUGUCCUGGCAGGCUGCUCUCCCCAGGCUUUGUCCAGGUGGCUCUGCCCCGUGAUGUGCAGUCCCUUCCCACAGCGUUGGAGAUGAAGCUGGGCCUCUGAGUCUGCACCUGCAUAUUUCUACAGCUUCUCAGAGUCCCAGAGAUCAUGACUGAGGAGACAAACCAUACAGGAAACAGUU
This 188-nucleotide small nucleolar RNA is filed under the name Erinaceus europaeus (western European hedgehog). Its description in RNAcentral is "Small nucleolar RNA SNORA73 family". It matches the Rfam family "Small nucleolar RNA SNORA73 family". From Rfam's summary of the family: U17 (SNORA73A and SNORA73B) also known as E1 belongs to the H/ACA class of small nucleolar RNAs (snoRNAs). Vertebrate U17 is intron-encoded and ranges in length from 200-230 nucleotides, longer than most snoRNAs. Lineage: Eukaryota; Metazoa; Chordata; Mammalia; Eulipotyphla; Erinaceidae. The record is from Rfam by way of RNAcentral.